Molecule: transfer-messenger RNA, 342 nt
Filed under: Lachnospiraceae bacterium
Lineage: Bacteria; Bacillati; Bacillota; Clostridia; Lachnospirales; Lachnospiraceae
Rfam family: transfer-messenger RNA
About the family: Bacterial tmRNA, also known as 10Sa RNA or SsrA, is named for its dual tRNA and mRNA-like properties.
Source: RNAcentral
GGGCUUGUACUGGUUUCGACGGGGAUUUUGAAAGUUGGGAAGCCAUUCGGAGGGACCACGUUACGGUGCGAACUUAAAUAUAAACGCAGAUAAUAAAUUAGCGUACGCUGCCUAAUUGCAGCUGCCCGCUCCAUACCACCUACAGUAUGGAAUCCGGGUAUCAAACUCUGUAGGACACUCAUCUGGUAAAGCUUUGCAUCAGGUGAAGUAAUAUGAAGCUACUAAAGUCGGCAGCCUGUUCAUGGGCGUCCGACGGAGGGAAUGUUAAAACAUGAACUGUAAUGGGAGAUGCCUGACCGGACGAGUUUUCGGACGCGGGUUCGAUUCCCGCCAGGUCCACUU